GGAGCCCGACGUGGGAUUCGAUCCCGGGUCUCCAGGAUCGCGCCCUGGGCCAAAGGCCAGAAGCAGAGCAGUGAGAAGCCAGGCCCCAGCUGUACCAUUCGCUUUGCAGCAUCAGAAGAUGGAAACGUUGCUCGCGCCCCGGUGAUUCCGCGGUCAAGAUGAUUGACGACACAUGCAUCACCUUGCAAGUUAACCGCCCCCCUUUCCUGUGGCGAGAAUGCUCACGGUCUACUCUCAGCGACUACAAGGU
Molecule: long non-coding RNA, 250 nt
Organism: Canis lupus familiaris (dog)
Lineage: Eukaryota; Metazoa; Chordata; Mammalia; Carnivora; Canidae
Exons: 3
Source: RefSeq, a predicted model, not a curated record